UUUCCGUAGGUGAACCUGCGGAGGGAUCAUUCAUAAUCAAGUGUUUUAUGGCACUUUUUAAAAAUCCAUAUCCACCUUGUGUGCAAUGUUAGAUCUCGUCAAUCUUGGCGAGAUUUUUAUACAUCAGCUCAUUCUUUAACUAAUUUGUCUGAAAAAUAUUAUGAAUACUUAAUUCAAAAUACAACUUUCAACAACGGAUCUCUUGGCUCUC
RNAcentral lists this unclassified non-coding RNA (211 nucleotides) under plant metagenome. Its description in RNAcentral is "partial contains small subunit ribosomal RNA, internal transcribed spacer 1, and 5.8S ribosomal RNA". The record is from RNAcentral.